UAGUGAUUACAAUGCCAAGCUAAGAAAAAAGGGGGGUGCAAAGAAUUGUGCAAGAAAACCCAAAUAUGAGGCAUUUUAGAAUAUCACAAGUCUCUAGUUGUAGGAGAGUUUUUAAAAUAAAAACAAAAAAGCCUUCUUUGACUUUGAUGCAUUCUUGUUCGAAUGGCACAGUGUUAAAGACAUGAGAUUAUGCUCACUAUACUUAGUUCAUACUGAGAACAACACUGUCAUGGUCAUUAUAAUGUGAACACCCCUCCCCAAAUUUUAGGAGAGAUCCUACUGCUGGACAUAGGUCCAGCUCUCUGUAGUCCACUAAGUCAGUUACCAUUCGUGCAUCUGUUUUAUGGUUCUUCCAUUUGUGAUGGCUGCUGUCAUCUCUGCUGUUAGUCUUUUAUCUUGUCAAUUUGUCUUUAAAAAUCCUUUUUACUAUAAUUUUAGCAGAUUGUCAGGAGAGAGUGGAUGUUAAUACAUGAGCCCAGCGUAGAAGUUUUAACCAUUAGAUGUAAUUUUUUCCUUGUGUGUUAGUUUUUUUCCCUGCUACAAAGAAACUGCUUCUUGCACUCCGUUGACAUUGCCAAGCACCUCUAUGAUUUUGUUUAGAUCCAUGUAGUUAUUCCUGAUUCUUUGGUAUUAUGUUCUCUUUCUGUUUUAGGAAAUAUUUUCAUAAGUUUGUGCUUUUCUUUACUUUUCAUCAAAUAAAGCUUGACCUGUGUAGACCCAGUUUUUAAAUAUAGAAUGGUUAUGUGCUUGUCCUUGGCUCUUUAUAUUGCCUACCUGAUUUAUAUGGACCUUAAUUUCUGCUUUGGGCUAAAGUUUCACAUACAUAAGUUGCUUGAAGGUAGAGAUUCUGUGUCAUUAAAUCUGUAGCUCUAGGUAGGACCUAAUGUACGUAGACUAGUUUCUUGCUAAAUAUAAAGCACAAUAUUCAUAUUAAAAAUUGAAUUGCUGCCCUAACCGUUUCUUGGAGAGUAACGUGACUAACCUUUUGAGACUGAGUGAGUAAUUAGAGGUUGGAGAUUUCUGGAAUUUCUUUUAAAAUGGUAUUAGUGUAUGCAUAUAUAAUGAAUUGGGUUAUCUAAUUUGGUAUGAGGUUAUGGUAAUGAGAUUGAGAUUCUUUUUAAAAUUUUUACACCUUUCAUACAUACUGCAUUCUUUUUUAAAAAAUUUGUUUAACUUAUUUAUUUUAGAGGGAGAGAGAGAGACAUCAGUUUGCUGUUCCACUCAUGUCUGCAUGUAUUGGUUGCUUAUUGGAUGUGCCCUGACUAGGGGGUUAAACCUAUAACCUUGGCGCAUCAGAACGACAUUCUAACUAUCUGGCCAAGGCUGCUCUGCAUUCCUAAUAUUGACAAAUCCACUCAAUAACAAUUGGUAUUGCUAUCAGAGGGUCCAGAUAGAAUUGUAACCAUGAAUGAUCAAUACAGAUAAUGAAGCUACUGGAAAAAACAACCCAAAACAUAUGCCUCCAGGGUGUGAUGAUAAAUAAGUUUUCUUUUUAUAUGGAGAUUAGUAACUAAUGGGCUAUUCUUUUUAACAAGUAGUGUUAAACAUUUUAUCUGAAAAUUCACUUUUAUUUAAAAUCGUUGACUAAUAAUAUCUUUUCAGUGGUUUUUCCAUAGGUUCUUUUUUGAACUAGACUUUCAAUGUUUUUUAUGGAAAGAUUUUGGAUCAUGAUGAUAGGUUAAAAGAUAAAAUUCUGAACAGUUAGAAUUCUCACUUUUGCUAAGGUAUUAGUGUUAACUAAAGAAGUUCACAAGUAGUCCCUUUAUCUAAUAACUUAAAACUAUGUUCACACUCACUAAUAGUAAAUGAAAUAGCCGAACCGUGUGUGCUAUGCUCAUAAUAUAAGAAGGCUAAUUUCAGGAUGGUAAGCAGUUGUUAAUGGGGCUGUGGGGUGAGGUUUGCUGGAUAACUCUGAAUGUAUAUUUAAUGAGUAUCAGAGCUCUAUAACUCUAGUCUUGGAUGGGAGGUGGGGUCAAAUGGUGCAGUGAAAUUACCUAAAGACAGGCAGGAGAAAGAGAAAGGAAGAGGACAAUAUGUCAUCUAUACUAAUAAAAGGGUAAUAUGCUAAUUAGACCGGAUAGACAGGACGGCUUUCCUGACAAAGCCAUAUCCCAGGCAAAGCUGCCCUGGGUCCCGGGUGCCUAUGGCCUGCCAGAGGGAGAGAAGCCCGGGUGCGGGGCUGAGGCAGAGGCGGUUAGGGGUAAUCAGGCAGGCAGGCAAGCAGUUAGGGGCCAUCAGGCAGGCAAGUACUUAGGGGCAAUCAGGCAGGCAAGCAUUUAGGAGCCAGCAAUCCUGGAUUUCGAGAGGGAUGUUGCGGGAUCGGGCCUAAACCGGCAGUGGGAAAUCCCCUGAGGCAUCCCAGAUUGCAAGAGGGUGCAGGCCGGGCUGAGGGAAAUCCCCCCC
Long non-coding RNA from Myotis daubentonii (Daubenton's bat), 2403 nucleotides. RefSeq lists it as uncharacterized. NCBI's taxonomy places the organism in Eukaryota, Metazoa, Chordata, Mammalia, Chiroptera, Vespertilionidae. The record is from RefSeq and is a predicted model, not a curated record.